GCAUAUCAAAGGCGUAUGAAAUGUUUCGGAGCAUAUCAAUAACAAAUGAAACAUUUCGAAACAUAUCAAUGACAUAUGGACCAUUUCGAAGCAUAUCAAAGAACGAAUACGAAAUAGAAGCUCAGACGUUGUACCCUAGCAUAGUGCAUGUGAGGUUUAACUCAGUGGUGGCUCUACGCCGUGAUGAGUUCUAAACUCCAUCCACGGGUAGCCCUUUCCUACUCGAGCCCUCUCACCCUACCCAAGUGCUAGGUCGGCUCUGAAUUUC
RNAcentral lists this long non-coding RNA (268 nucleotides) under Musa acuminata (dwarf banana). Its description in RNAcentral is "long non-coding RNA (MACU_LNC009887)". Lineage: Eukaryota; Viridiplantae; Streptophyta; Magnoliopsida; Zingiberales; Musaceae. The record is from RNAcentral.